Molecule: ribosomal RNA, 109 nt
Filed under: Cavia porcellus (domestic guinea pig)
Lineage: Eukaryota; Metazoa; Chordata; Mammalia; Rodentia; Caviidae
Source: RNAcentral
GUCUGGGGCUUCACCACCCUGAAUGUGUCUGAUUUUGUCUGAUCUCAGAAGCUAAGCAGGGUCCUGCCUGGUUAGUACCUGGGUGGGGGAAUAACUGCUACUGAGGGUU